AUGAAUGUGUCUUUUGUCCAGCUCGGCCGCCUCGGAUCUCACUGCCACCGGCCUUCACGCACACCCUCGCCACCAGCCUUUGCCCCGUCAGCCUCAGCCCCAGCUCAUUCUCUCAGGCAGUCCCAGCAUUGGCAUGGUACCUCCUCCCGCCGUGGGCCUCACGUCUCUGCUCCCUGUCAACCCUACUGCCAUCAGCAUCACCACAAGCGACUUGUCUGCCCAGGAGGAUGCAACACCAUCUACCUCUACCGGCCACCUUUCAGUGUUUUCUGCUUUCCAAGUAAAGACACCAGCAGUGCCCUCAGAGCGGACCAGCCAGAGAUUUUCCGAAGCCUCCCAUAUAGGCUCCUCCGUGGAGGAGGCCUGAGAUGCUGUCAUGACUUUGGAGCCAGGGUGGCCGACCACCUUGGCCUGGCCAUCUUUGGGGUGGGCUUUGGGAGCCCAGCACUGCUGCCGAGUGUGGUGGAUGAGAACGGCUGCUGCUUGCUGUACGUGGUGGAGCUGUGUGGCGUGGAGCGAGCCUUCAGAGCUGAGCAUUUGACCAACACCAGAGUGGUUCGGGAACAGGAUGCGGACAUUGUCCUCAACGACCAGCGGGAAGGGGGUGCUUUGCGAGAGGCUGCCGAGUUUGAAUUGUCAGGCUGCCCAGUCCUGCUUCGACGAAGCCGACGGACGUGGAAAGCCUUUGGUCUGUGGAUUUUACAAGUGGGAUUUUCCACAACGCUGCUGUGCGCGGCGUGGAUGCCACAUGCAUGUUGCUGGGGGACGCCACUUCGGACACUGUUUUCUCUGGGACAUGCCUUCUGCCCAGAUAUGGCUGCCUUAAAAGAUGCAGACACUGUUAUGAUCAGCAUGAAGUUUCCCUGUGGGGCUAUGGUCAGCGUGGACGUCAGCCAGCACCGUACAGACAGCUGUGACCAGGGAUUGGAGGUGCGUGGGUCCCAAGGCGCGCUGCAGAUGGAGAAUCAGAAUCCCUUGGGCAUCACCGGGCGGGGCACGUCCCUGUCCCUCGGCUCCCAGACCCAGGCUAGCCGCUACCAGGACUCGUAUCGAGAGCUCUUCAGCUACUUUGUCAGAACCCUUAAAGGGAAAGAACCUCCUGAAAUCACCAAAGAGCAGUUCCUCAGGGUCUUCCGGGUGGCUGCGGCCACGGAGCAGUCGUGGUGGAGCCGGUCAGCUGUGGCCCUGCCCUGCGAAUCGGCAGAGGCCUCCGUGGUGAAGACAGAAGCUCCGUGAACCAACCCGAGGCUGGAGACAAGAUCCUGCCCAAUAUCCAGUUGCCUGUUUCUCUUCUCACUGUUACUGAGAGAGGGAGACAGAACCUUCUGGCGAUCUUGUCCUCACUGGAGACUCAGAACAGGAAGCAUUGGGAAACCAUGUGUGUUUCAUUUCUGGUGCGACCAGGCUUUUCAGGAUGUGACUUCAGACUGAGGACACAAGUUGGGCUUGCUUAGCUGUUUUGUGUUGCGCGCCGGCCGCAGAGAUGCUCUUCCCGUCAGAGUUCCCUUGGCAGGGCCUCGGAGGCCUCUGGUUGGCUGUCUCAGGAAGAGGGCAGGUCAGGGAUUGGACAGUGUAAAUUGACCCAGAAACCUGCGGUUUCAGCUUUUCUGUGGCAAACAGGGCCGAGGGCUGGUGAAGCUGUUAAGACUAAAUGUGGCAUGCAUGAGGCAGACUGCAGGCCUCCUUAGGCCUUUUUUGGGGGUAAUUACACCAGUAUUUAAAAACAUUUUUUUUUGUUUGUUUUGAGACGGAGUCUCGCCCUGUCACCCAGGCUGGAGUGCAGUGGUGCAAUCUCGGCUCACUGCAACCUCUGCCUCCCGGGUUCAAGUGAUUCAUCUGCCUCAGCCUUCUGAGUAGCUGGGAUUACAGGCAUGCGCCACCACGCCCGGCUAAUUUUUGUGUUUUUAGUAGAGAUGGGGUUUCACCAUGUUGGCCAGGCUGGUCUCGAACUACUGACCUCAUGAUCCGCCUGCCACGGCCUCCCAAAGUGCUGGGAUUACAGGCGUGAGCCACCGUGCUCGGCCUAAAAAACAAUUUUCUUGAAGAAUCUGAUUUUGUGCAUAGUAAUGACACAGCACCAUUCCAGAGAAAUAGGAAAUAUAUGUGUGUGGUAUGAGAAGCCCAUAUUCUGUUCUUGUCGCCUGAAUCUAGGCUUCCUCUCUGGAUGUGAGCGCAGGAAUGAACGGCGGCUGUUUUCCGCCCAAAGGGGUGUGGAGACCUUUUGGAAACAGGCCUUCUCCUUUCCGUUUUGCAGCCAGGUGGUGGAAACCUUCCUUCGAAGGGUAGUGCCUUGGGGAGCAGCAGACCUGCUCCGAGUCCAGCUUAGCUUUCCAAAAUUCUGUGUGGAACCUACUGGAAAUGUUUUUAUAUAUUUGAAAAUCAUGGCGUGUAUUUCUCAUGCUAUAGUUAAAAAAAAUAACCUUUUAAACAAAGAUAUUCAAACUCACCCUUGUGCUAAAAGCGCUCACGUUUCUGUGUCCAUUCCUGAAAGGGCAUUUUAGAGUCCCCGUUUCUACGUUCUACAUGGCACCCUCUUGCCGAGGGAACAUCCCCAAUCCCCCCACUUCCUGUCUAGUUUGAGGCCUCAGCACUUUGGUGAUCCAGAGUUCUGUGGCUGUGAGGGGCUGGGCCCACCGCCGCCCAGCCCUUCUUGGUGGAUGUGGGGACAGGUAGGAGCCUAGGGAAAGGGGUGAGCGUUAGCCAGGAAGGUGGGGCCAAGGCCAGGCAUGGCGCCUCACCUGCACGUCACCUCACCUGCACCUCACCUCACCUGCACCUCACCUGUGGGGCAACUCAGUGGAGCUUCCUGGCGGCAUCUUUCCCUUUUGCCUUGGUCUUUUCUUUCCUUGUUUAAGGCCAAUUUCUAAAAAGACUGAGGCCUCCUUUGAGGUUGAACAGAUUUCUAGAGUCUUAUUUUUGCUGUGACAGGACCCUAGUCACUGUUCACAAGUCUGAAACCAAGAAACCUGAGAACCAAGAGAACUGAAACGAAGCCUCUGGGCUCAGCCUGGCUUGAGCCAGCACGAGGCUCUCUGCUGCCUUUUGUUUUCUUAGGUUUUGCUGAGAAACGAGGGUGCGUUCUGUGUGGGUGUCUGUGACACCUGGAGACCCUGCUUGGCCUCGCUGAAGUCCAGAAAGCCUGGGCCCCACAGGGCUUGGAUAAGGGCUCACGGGCCUGCACUUCAGGAGGCCUGAGAGGCCCAGUCAGUCCCAUGAGGCUACUCGGCUUGGCCCGCAGCUCCUCCGAGGCACAGGGCAGAGGGACACCCCAGGGACCCAUCAGACUCACGACACAGAGAAACGCAGGUGGGCUGCCGGGCCGGCCGCAGAGGCCACAGGCUUCCCGCCUGUGAGGAGCCGCCCUGUAUGUCUGAGCCCCUCGGAGAUGGAGGUUUAGUCAUGAGAACCAGUCAUUGGAACAUACACUUUAUUAUGUUACAAAAACAAAAAUUCCCACCGAAACACAGCUAAAAAAAUAACACAUUUUCCCACGAUUACAUUACCAAGAACAGCUGUCACGCCAUUGGAGGGCGCCCGUUAAUACUGCUCGGAGAAGCACCAGCCUACACGGACACACAGAUGCGGUCGCGUGUCCACCCUAAAGCAUUAAAGUGCUUUAACUGGGAACAGAGGAGUGGAUGUUUGUGCGUUGGAGACACUGACUGUUCCGAGUGACAGGUGUCUCUGUGCCAGGAUACUGCGAGUCGGGCCCCUGGGUACAGCAAGGGCUUCCCAGCAGCCCAGGCCUGGUGGGAACGCUGGGGGGAUGGGGGAGAGUCGCUGUUUCUGACCAGAGUGACUCGGACGGACGUGAGCUGACCUGCCUGGUGAGCUCCUCCUGCCUGGCCUCUCUGAGCAGACUCAGGACCACUGCCCGUCCCCCUCAGCUCCAGGAGUGCCGGCAGCCUCCCUCCUACCCCUGCACUGCCGGGAAAACCAUCUGCCUUCAAGAUUUAUUUGUUGAUUUGUUUAGUUGUAUAAAAAACAUCGCUUAAAGGAUUCUUGUUCCUGGGAAUUUGCAUUUUCUCCUAACCACGGCAAAGUCUCGACUCCGUUUACUUUCACAGCUGCUUCUCCAGCGCAAGGAGGCUGCGCGGGCUCGCUGUACAGGUGCAGCUGGGGCCAUCUGGCUGCUCCGUGUUCUGACCGGCUUCUUGGACAUCUGGCUGGGGUUCCAGUGACAGCUGCCCCUGGGCCUCUCCCUGCUCUGUGCCACCCACCCCCCCAGCAGCACACUACAGGGGCUCUUGGGACAGCCUCACUGGACUCGGCGCACAGGGAACAUGCCUAAGAAACAACUCAACAACCCCCUGGAAUUGCAGCGCAUCUGUGCUGGGCUCGGGAACCCGAGUGUCGGGAUGGGCCCCCGCCGCUCUAGAAGCGGAGCAUGGGGCAGAGUGGGGCUUCAGGAGGUGGACUCGGGUAGCAGGUGCCCAGCCCCCAGGAGAUGGGCGUGAUGCCUGGGGCACGGGUCUUAGCCUUUCUGGCCUCAGCUUCCUCAUCUACGAAAUGGCAGUAAGAUGGAGAGCUGAGGUGACAUGCAGCUGGGGUGGCUGCGCCACCCUGGGAAAGCCCUGAGUCCGCUGCUGCUGCCCCUACUGACUGAUGCCCUGGGUGUGGGCACCUUUCUAGGGAGAUGGAACCUCAGAAGCUGAGCAACCAGAGCCUGCCCUUCGGCUAGAAGGAGCUAGAAAGAAGGGCCAGGCUCUCGCCCUGGCUGCAGCCAGAUCCCCUGAGAGGCGGCAGUCCCGUUCUUGCUGCCCCCACAAACGUGCACCCAGGCGGCUGUGCUGUCACUGGCCCCCGGGGAGGUGGACAGUGGGGGAGAGGGACGCCUGCGUCUUCGUAGACCAGGCACCUGCGGCAACACCAGUCGCUGCUUUUAAAUAAGGGGAGGCUGGUGACGGUGAUGCCACUCAGCAAGAUGGAGUCCUGAUCUGGGGAUGGGGGCUGUGUCUAACCUUGCUGUGCCCUGGGGGGCUUAACUGCUUCUGGGAGAUGUUAGUGGGGGAAGCUCCUAGCCCUUAGGAGCUGAUGCCACACAUACCCUAGGCAGAGGGUGUGGAGCUGGCCGGGUCAGAAGGGGCCAAGCAGCCUGCACUCUGGGUGGUGUCUCAGCUUACGUGAGUGAGGCGGUCCUGCAGAAUACAGUGUGCUGGGAGCAGAGGCCACUCCCAAGUCCAGCAGAGAGAGUCCCCAGCCCCCGGCACAGGCAAGAUGCAGUCAGGGACAUUCCCUGAAAAUACACGGUGUUUCAGACGCAGUCACUUGGCUGCUCACCACUCUCCACUGGCCCACCUGCCUGG
Long non-coding RNA from Papio anubis (olive baboon), 5306 nucleotides. Lineage: Eukaryota; Metazoa; Chordata; Mammalia; Primates; Cercopithecidae. The record is from Ensembl.